GAUGAACGCUGGCGGCGUGCCUAAUACAUGCAAGUCGAACGGAGAAUGUAGCAAUACGUUCUUAGUGGCGAACGGGUGAGUAACGCGUUGGUGACCUGCCCCGAAGAGGGGGAUAACAGUUCGAAAGGAUUGCUAAUACCCCAUGUGGUCACUGGGAUUAGAUGCCCGGUGACUAAACGGAUUUAUUCGCUUCGGGAGGGGCCUGCGUCCCAUCAGCUAGUUGGUAAGGUAAUGGCUUACCAAGGCUAUGACGGGUAGGGGACCUGAGAGGGUGGCCCCCCACAAUGGAACUGAAACACGGUCCAUACACCUACGGGAGGCAG
RNAcentral lists this ribosomal RNA (323 nucleotides) under uncultured Chloroflexota bacterium. Its description in RNAcentral is "bacterial SSU rRNA". It matches the Rfam family "Bacterial small subunit ribosomal RNA", at positions 28 to 351 of the family's 1533-position model. Lineage: Bacteria; Bacillati; Chloroflexota. The record is from RNAcentral.